GUGGGAUUCUUAUUGCUUAGUGUUUAAUUUUCUAUUUUGUGUUUUAUGUGUUUUUGUCUGUCUGUCUGUCUUUUUUUCUUUUUCAGUCAGGGCAUUGUCAGUUUAUAUUUGAUCAUAAUGUGAAUGUUCAUCUGGUAUCUUUCGCCCAAAAAAUACGAAUACAAAUCAAAUACUAAGUGUGUUUAUUAGCAUAUACAGGAUAAGUUCUAGACUCGUUAUAUCUCAUUAAAGUAUCCCAAUAUCCACGACAAUUAAAUUCGAAGCGUAUGGAUGCUUUGAACUUUCAAUCUUAACUAAAUAUUAUAAUAUUUAGAGGCUUUAUACCUGACGAGGAAGACAUUUAUGCUAUAAUGACGACUUUGACAAAAUAGAAAACGAAUAAAAAUCAC
Molecule: long non-coding RNA, 389 nt
Filed under: Mytilus galloprovincialis (Mediterranean mussel)
Lineage: Eukaryota; Metazoa; Mollusca; Bivalvia; Mytilida; Mytilidae
Source: RNAcentral